RNAcentral lists this ribosomal RNA (467 nucleotides) under uncultured bacterium. Its description in RNAcentral is "partial 16S ribosomal RNA". It matches the Rfam family "Bacterial small subunit ribosomal RNA", at positions 339 to 795 of the family's 1533-position model. The record is from RNAcentral.
CUACGGGGGGCAGCAGUGGGGAAUAUUGGACAAUGGGGGAAACCCUGAUCCAGCAAUGCCGCGUGUGUGAAGAAGGCCUGCGGGUUGUAAAGCACUUUCGGUUGGGAGGACUGCUUCUAGCACUAAUAUUGUUGGAAGUUGACGUUACCUUCAGAAGAAGCACCGGCUAACUCCGUGCCAGCAGCCGCGGUAAUAGGCGGAGGGUGCAAGCGUUAAUCGGAAUUACUGGGCGUAAAGCGCGCGUAGGCGGCUAGAUCAGUCGGGUGUGAAAGCCCCGGGCUUAACCUGGGAACUGCAUCCGAUACUGUCUAGCUUGAGUACAGGAGAGGAGAGUGGAAUUCCACAUGUAGCGGUGAAAUGCGUAGAUAUGUGGAGGAACACCAAUGGCGAAGGCAGCUCUCUGGCCUGAUACUGACGCUGAGGUGCGAAAGCGUGGGGAGCAAACAGGAUUAGAUACCCCAGUAGUC